CGCUCGCCUAGCGCAUGCGAGGCCUUGGGUUCAAUCCUCAGCACCACAUAAAAAUAAAUAAAUAGAAUGAAGGUAUUGUAUCCAACUACAACUAAAAAACAAAUAUUUAAAAAAAUAAAACACAAGUACCAUCUCUUAGAGAUUUACAGCCAACAAUAUCUAAUCUUUCCCAGCCUCCCAUCCCCACCAACAACCGUUGUCACUUUGGGUCUCUUAUCAAGGAGGGGGCAAAAACAAAACUAACUUUUGAACAAUCUAUUAUGCCCAAACUCUGAGAAGGUGUUAGUUCUAAAAUGCGAAGUAAACUAAGAUGGAACUCUUUAGAUUUGCUUAUUUCCUACAUAGAUUUAUAUAUUGUAGAAGAGAAAAGAUGAUUGGCUACACAGAAUUUCAUUUAGCUGUGUCCCUAGAUUCACUUAAAUCACCAGUCCUUUGAGAUGAUCUCAAAGUAGGCAAAGCCCAAAAAUGAUUUCAGCAAAUGUUCCAGCACUUCUUAACUCUGGCUUCACUUUAUAUUCACCCGGGAGAUUUUAGAAAAAUAACAUUAUGGAUUGAAUAUGAGAUGUCCCGCCAAAGCUCCUGUAUUAAUGAAGCAAUGUUUAGAGGCAAAGCAAUUAGAUAGUAAGAACUGUAACCUAAUCAGUCCAUCCUAGUUUGAAUGGACUGACAGGGUGGAAACUGUAGGCAGGUGGGGUGUGGCUAGAGGAGGUUGGUCACUCAGGGUAUAACCUGGGAGGGAUAUUCUUCAUGUGACUCCUCUCUCUCUCUCUCUCUCUCUCUCUCUCUCUCUCUCUCUCUCUCUCUCUCCCUCUCUCUCUUUCUCUCUCUCUCUCUCCUGAUUCCACCAUAAGCUUUCCUCUGCUGAGCUCUUUCCCUGUGAUGUGCUGCCUUAUCUUGGUCCCAGAGCAAUGGAAUUGGCCACCUAUGGACUGCAACCUCUGAUGCUGUGAGCCCCAAAUAAACUUUUCCUCCUCUAAGUUGUUCUCAUUGGGUACUUUGGUCACAGCAAUGAAAAAGCUGACAUAAACAAAUAGCAAUACAUGAAUCCUAUUAAAUCAAUUGGAUGAACAUUU
This 1073-nucleotide long non-coding RNA is filed under the name Marmota monax (woodchuck). The record is from RNAcentral. Lineage: Eukaryota; Metazoa; Chordata; Mammalia; Rodentia; Sciuridae.